This 188-nucleotide unclassified non-coding RNA is filed under the name uncultured fungus. RNAcentral describes it as "sequence contains ITS1". Lineage: Eukaryota; Fungi. The record is from RNAcentral.
UCAAGAGUGUUUAUAACCUUUCACUUAUAAAAUAGUGGGGUUAACCUCCCGUCCUUUGCUGACCCCCCUCACUAAAUUUUAGGGAGGGGGUUUCAUAUAAUUAUCUGCUUCGGUGGGGUUACCCACCGGAACACCCUCAAAAAAUUCUUUUUAAGACUGUUCAGUCCGAGGAUUUUUGAAAUUGAUGA